This is a long non-coding RNA of Vitis vinifera (wine grape), 915 nucleotides long. RefSeq lists it as uncharacterized. Lineage: Eukaryota; Viridiplantae; Streptophyta; Magnoliopsida; Vitales; Vitaceae. The record is from RefSeq and is a predicted model, not a curated record. The transcript has 2 exons.
CAAUGGGCAAUGACUGAUGCCAAGGACACAGAAGACUUCGCUCUCAGUCACCAAAGUCUUUCCAUCACAAGCCAAAGUGGGAUCUACGCAUAGAGAUCUCUUUGGUAGCUGCCUAGUCACCUAUAAAUCCACCACUCCUUCUCAUCCCCUCUACAAUCCAUCCCCAUUUUUCCGUUUCACUCUAUCUCUCUUAGCUGAAAACCAUGGGUGGUGGAGGAGACUUCACUGUAAUUAUGACCAGGAAAGAGGUUAUGGAAGCCCCUAUGUAACCUUGAUUUGAUUUUUCCUCCUGUAGAUGUGAGUGUGUUUUUCUGUUACAAAAAACCCCAUCAGAGUGUUAACGGAGGUGAUGACUUACCUUUGAGUCCAUGGUUGGGGUUAUGAAGAAAGCCAUGGUCUAAGCACUGGUCCCCUACCAUGGUUUUGCAGGGGAAGUUGUGCGUAACUCAGUGGGUGAGCCUGAACUUCUAUGCAAUAACCCAGGGGUAGAUUUCAUGGAGGCUUAUGCAAAUGCAAAACUACAAGACCUCAGCUUGUAUAACCCUAACAACAGCAUUGAAGGCAAGCUUGUCCCUAAGAAGCAGUGUGGUGCCCUCUGUGUGCAGGUGAUUGAGCUCAAAUGUGGUGGAGUCGUGGUGGGCUAUACAUUCCAUCAUCAGAUAGCGGACGCAUAUUCUGCUAGUAUGUUCCUAGUUAAUUUCAUGGGCUGAGAUGACCCAGUGCAAGCCAUUAUCUGUGGUUCCAUCUUUCCGGCGCUCUCUCCUCAACAUCAGACGUCCGGGCUCCUAUGAUCCCCCCUUGAUGACAUGUACGUCCCUAUAUCAGCCUUUUUUGUGUGGAGAAAUUGUUCUUGUGCUAGAAAGAUGAAUUUUUGUUGCUAACACAUAAUAAAGUUUAAAGGAUUGUGUAUGAUAA